RNAcentral lists this ribosomal RNA (497 nucleotides) under uncultured bacterium. RNAcentral describes it as "partial 16S ribosomal RNA". It matches the Rfam family "Bacterial small subunit ribosomal RNA", at positions 28 to 507 of the family's 1533-position model. The record is from RNAcentral.
GAUGAACGCUGGCGGCGUGCCUAAUACAUGCAAGUCGAGCGAACGGACGAGAAGCUUGCUUCUCUGAUGUUAGCGGCGGACGGGUGAGUAACACGUGGAUAACCUACCUAUAAGACUGGGAUAACUUCGGGAAACCGGAGCUAAUACCGGAUGAUAUUUUGAACCGCAUGGUUCAAAAGUGAAAGACGGUCUUGCCGUCACUUAUAGAUGGAUCCGCGCUGCAUUAGCUAGUUGGUAAGGUAACGGCUUAUCAAGGCAACGAUGCAUAGCCGACCUGAGAGGGUGAUCGGCCACACUGGAACUGAGACACGGUCCAGACUCCUACGGGAGGCAGCAGUAGGGAAUCUUCCGCAAUGGGCGAAAGCCUGACGGAGCAACGCCGCGUGAGUGAUGAAGGUCUUCGGAUCGUAAAACUCUGUUAUUAGGGAAGAACAUAUGUGUAAGUAACUGUGCACAUCUUGACGGUACCUAAUCAGAAAGCCACGGCUAACUACGUG